UGUAAGCGUAUAACAAAGUUGUUGCAGUUAAAACGCUCGUAGUCGGAAUUUGGCAGUUCCGGAUGUGUGCACGUCGUGUGCGCACUUCGCGGGGAUUGCUUUUGUGGUCUUGCGUAGGAUGAGGCACUUUUAUUAGUGAACGUCCUCACGCAACCACUUUUUACUGUGAGAAAAUCAGAGUGCUCAAAGCAGGCAUUUGCCGUGAAUGUAUUAGCAUGGAAUAAUAGAAUAGGACUUGGUUCUAUUUUGUUGGUUUGUUGGGACUGAGUAAUGAUUAAGAGGGACAGUUGGGGGCAUUUGUAUUUCGGUGCUAGAGGUGAAAUUCUUAGAUUACCGAAAGACAAACUGCUGCGAAAGCGUCUGCCAAGGAUGUUUUCAUUGA
This 382-nucleotide ribosomal RNA is filed under the name uncultured eukaryote. RNAcentral's name for it is "partial 18S ribosomal RNA". It matches the Rfam family "Eukaryotic small subunit ribosomal RNA", at positions 592 to 976 of the family's 1831-position model. The record is from RNAcentral.